Non-coding RNA from Pelobates cultripes (western spadefoot toad), 607 nucleotides. NCBI's taxonomy places the organism in Eukaryota, Metazoa, Chordata, Amphibia, Anura, Pelobatidae. The record is from the annotation of a GenBank genome assembly.
UGUGGUAUUUAUUAAUGGGCAAACUUACUGUAUUUAUUAAUGGGCUCAAUGACUGUGAUAUUUAUUAAUUGGCAAACUUACUGUAUUUAUUAAUGGGCACAAUGACUGUGGUAUUUAUUAAUGGGCAAACUGACUGUGAUAUUUAUUAAUUGGCAAACAUGAUGUGGUGUUUUUAAUGGGUACCUGGCUUGGCAUAUGUUUAAUAGGUAAACUGACUGUGGUAUAUUUUUAAUGGGAAAACUGACCGUGACAUGUUCUAGGGGAGAAAGUGACACUGUUCUGUGUAUGAACUUUAUUACAAGGAUUUUUUAAAUGUAUUUUUUUCUGGGAAGAGCUUUGGUGUACCUUGGGUGAGAAAAGGUUGAGGAGCACUGUACUGAACUGUAGAUGAUGUACUCCAAAAAUGCACAAUAUUCUUCCAUAGACAUGUGCAAUUCGGACAAAUUUCGGGCAAUUCGGACAUUCGGGUACUUCCGAAUGUCCGAAAAGCCAAAGUGCCGAAUAGCCGAAGUGCCGAAUAGCCAAAGUGCCGAAUUACUGAGGUGCUGAAGUGCCGAAGUGCCGAAGUUCCGAAGCACAGUAUUGCCUAAGUACUAAUAUACCUACC